UCCUUUUGAUAAUAAUAUAAGGUCUAACCUGCCCACUGAAAUUUUAAAGGGCCGCAGUAUUUUAACUGUGCAAAGGUAGCAUAAUAAUUAGUUUCUUAAUUAGAAGCUGGUAUGAAUGGUUGAACGAGAAAUUUACUGUCUCAAUUUAUAAAUUAAAAUUUUAUUUUUAAGUUAAAAAGCUUAAAUUUAUUUAAAAGACGAGAAGACCCUAUAGAGUUUUAUAGGUUUAAGUAUAUUAUUUUUAGAAUUUUAUUUUAUUUAAAUUUAUUUUAUUGGGGUGAUAUAUAAAUUUAAUAAACUUUAUAUUUUUAAUGACAUAAAUUAAUGUUUAAUUGAUCCAUAAUAAUGAUUAAAAGAAAAAAUUACCUUAGGGAUAACAGCGUAAUUUUUUUUUAGAGUUCUAAUCGAAAAAAAAGAUUGCGACCUCGAUGUUGGAUUAAAAUUAAUUUUUGGUGUAGAAGCUAAAAUAUUAGGUCUGUUCGACCUUUAAAAUUUUACAUGAUCUGAGUUUAAACCGGUGUGAGCCAGGUUGGUUUCUAUCUUUAAAUAAAAUAAAUAUUUUAGUACGAAAGGACCAAAUAUUUUUAAAAUUUAAUAUUUUUUGAAUA
This 608-nucleotide ribosomal RNA is filed under the name Hydraena persica. Its description in RNAcentral is "partial 16S ribosomal RNA". It matches the Rfam family "Bacterial large subunit ribosomal RNA", at positions 1826 to 2725 of the family's 2925-position model. Lineage: Eukaryota; Metazoa; Arthropoda; Insecta; Coleoptera; Hydraenidae. The record is from RNAcentral.